RNAcentral lists this ribosomal RNA (464 nucleotides) under uncultured bacterium. Its description in RNAcentral is "partial 16S ribosomal RNA". It matches the Rfam family "Bacterial small subunit ribosomal RNA", at positions 339 to 795 of the family's 1533-position model. The record is from RNAcentral.
CUACGGGUUGCUCCAGUGGGGAAUAUUGCACAAUGGGCGCAAGCCUGAUGCAGCCAUGCCGCGUGUAUGAAGAAGGCCUUCGGGUUGUAAAGUACUUUCAGCGGGGAGGAAGGGAGUAAAGUUAAUACCUUUGCUCAUUGACGUUACCCGCAGAAGAAGCACCGGCUAACUCCGUGCCAGCAGCCGCGGUAAUACGGAGGUGCAAGCGUUAAUCGGAAUUACGGGGCGUAAAGCGCACGCAGGCGGUUUGUUAAGUCCGAUGUGAAAUCCCCGGGCGUCAACCUGGGAACUGCAUCUGAUACUGGCGAGCUUGAGUGUCGUAGAGGGGGGUAGAAUUCCAGGUGUAGCGGUGAAAUGCGUAGAGAUCUGGAGGAAUACCGGUGGCGAAGGCGGCCCCCUGGACGAAGACUGACGCUCAGGUGCGAAAGCGUGGGGAGCAAACAGGAUUAGAUACCCCCGUAGUC